GAUGAACGCUGGCGGCGUGCCUAAUACAUGCAAGUAGAACGCUGAAGGAAGGAGCUUGCUCUUUCCGGAUGAGUUGCGAACGGGUGAGUAACGCGUAGGUAACCUGCCUGGUAGCGGGGGAUAACUAUUGGAAACGAUAGCUAAUACCGCAUAACAGUAGAUGUUGCAUGAUAUCUACUUAAAAGGUGCAAUUGCACCACUACCAGAUGGACCUGCGUUGUAUUAGCUAGUUGGUGAGGUAACGGCUCACCAAGGCGACGAUACAUAGCCGACCUGAGAGGGUGGACGGCCACCAUGGGACUGGGACACGGCCCAGACUUCUACGGGAGGGAGCAGGAGGGAAUUUUCGGCAAUGGACGGAAGUCUGACCGAACCAAGCCGCGUGAGUGAAGAAGGGUUUCGGAUCGUAAAGCUCUGUUGUAAGAGAAGAAAGAGUGUGAGAGUGGAAAGUUCACGCUGUGACGGUAUCUAAACAGAAAGGGACGGCUAACUACGUG
This 497-nucleotide ribosomal RNA is filed under the name uncultured bacterium. RNAcentral describes it as "partial 16S ribosomal RNA". It matches the Rfam family "Bacterial small subunit ribosomal RNA", at positions 28 to 507 of the family's 1533-position model. The record is from RNAcentral.